RNAcentral lists this ribosomal RNA (292 nucleotides) under uncultured Planctomycetota bacterium. RNAcentral describes it as "uncultured planctomycete partial 16S ribosomal RNA". The record is from RNAcentral. Lineage: Bacteria; Pseudomonadati; Planctomycetota.
GGACUACCCGGGUUUCUAAUCCCGUUCGCUCCCCUAGCUUUCGCGCCUCAGCGUCAGAAGAGAUCCAGCAAGCCGCCUUCGCCACCGGAGUUCCUGUGCAUAUCAACGCAUUUCACCGCUCCACGCACAGUUCCGCUUGCCCCUAUCUCCCUCGAGACCACCAGUAUCCACGGCCGUUCUCCAGUUAAGCUGGAGGAUUUCACCACAGACUUGGUAGCCCGCCUACGCGCCCUUUAAGCCCAGUGAUUCCGAACAACGUUCGCACGGUUCGUCUUACCGCGGCUGCUGGCAC